GAAUUGGAGCUGGAGUCUGCCUGCUGAGCACGCAGCAACAGAACUGGUCCUUCACGUCAUCGAAGAUUAGGUCCCUCCACCAAGAAGGCUGAGGCAAUCCACAAAGAGGAUUCUGUCUGUGGGGAAAGGGCACGGCAGGUGAUGGAGCAUGGCAGGAUGACCACCAGGGGCCUGCGGGCACUGAAUUGCCAGUCUGUGUUCACUGAAGAACAUCUAUGCACCAGUGUAUAGCAUUUGGAGGAGAGGCAAAGACUGCAGAAGAAAUGAGUGUCUGAGAAGACAAGGACGGACUUCAGUAGAAGAGGUUUAGGAAAAACAAUCAAAUCUUGGUGUUAAUGUUAUGGAGAGAUCAGGUAGGGCACUUCAGAAGUCUAUGAAAAAAGGAGAAUGUUAAAUCCUAUAAAAUGGGGUUAUUGUAAAUCUUCAGAUAGUGCUGUUCUAAAAUUUUUGAAAGGAACGAAUUUGAAUAAAAGUUCUUGAGGAAAAAAAUAAUCCUAUCUUGCCAAUAGGUCUCUCCCUUUAGAAAAUUCAUGAGCCAAAAGCAGGAUCCAUGCGAAGGCUGGGGGCUAUGAGAAUGUGCUAAGCAUUAACCUGAAUCUUAAAUUGUUUUAAUGAUAGAAAUUUUACAUGUUCCUAGAAUCUAGUUGCUACCUCUAGCACCUAAACCAAGAAUGGAGGACUGAGAGUAAACGUGGGAAAGGAAUACUCNNNNNNNNNNNAUUAAUACCUAAAAUAAUAUAAUUUAUUAGGCAUUAUGUCAGACAUUUUGCCAUAAUAAUGCUAGGAAGUAGGUGCUACCAUCAGUAGCAUUCUUCAUUGGUAGAAACCGAGGUUCAGAGAGGUUAAGAAUCUGCUCAAGGUCACAGAGCCAGUAAUCGUACGCUGUCACCAUCUCUAAAGUCUUAAUCUUGUUGCUACUGUACUAAAUUCUUUGAAUCUGUACGUGUAUGUUUGUGUGCAUUGAGGUGGGGAACAAGAUUACUCGAAAUGCUUUAUCUUACCGAGUUCACAAUGUAUAUCCUCAGAAAUGCAUGCUCUACUAAAGUCUAGGAGGCUGCUGCCAAUAAGGUACUGUGUAAUAAAACGGAUGGUUAAUUUGGUUUUAGAAGGUGGGUGAGACACAGAAGGGCGUGCGCACAUACAGAUAAGACGACAGGAAGGCCCUAGUGACAAACGUGGGAAAACGAAUGCUCAGAUCCAGA
Molecule: long non-coding RNA, 1202 nt
Filed under: Capra hircus (goat)
Lineage: Eukaryota; Metazoa; Chordata; Mammalia; Artiodactyla; Bovidae
Description: lncRNA (ENSCHIG00010026685.1)
Source: RNAcentral